Molecule: non-coding RNA, 93 nt
Filed under: uncultured Ruminococcus sp.
Lineage: Bacteria; Bacillati; Bacillota; Clostridia; Eubacteriales; Oscillospiraceae
Description: SAM riboswitch (S box leader)
Rfam family: SAM riboswitch aptamer (S box leader)
About the family: The SAM riboswitch is found upstream of a number of genes which code for proteins involved in methionine or cysteine biosynthesis in Gram-positive bacteria. The SAM riboswitch acts at the level of transcription termination control.
Source: RNAcentral
CUUAUCGAGAGUGACCGAGGGUACAGGCCCUGUGACGUCACGGCAACCUGCCGAGGCAAGGUGCCAAAUCCUGCGGUUUUACCGAGAGAUGAG